RNAcentral lists this ribosomal RNA (328 nucleotides) under uncultured eukaryote. RNAcentral describes it as "partial 18S ribosomal RNA". It matches the Rfam family "Eukaryotic small subunit ribosomal RNA", at positions 1470 to 1796 of the family's 1831-position model. The record is from RNAcentral.
CCCUUAGAUGUCCUGGGCCGCACGCGCGUUACACUGAUGCAUUCAACGAGCUUAUAACCUUGGCCGAGAGGCCUGGGCAAUCUUGUUAACGUGUAUCGUGAUAGGGAUAGAUUAUUGAAAUUAUUAAUCUUGAACGAGGAAUUCCUAGUAAACGCAGAUCAUCAAUCUGCAUUGAUUACGUCCCUGCCCUUUGUACACACCGCCCGUCGCACCUACCGAUUGGAUGGUCCGGUGAAGCCUCGGGAUUGUGGUUCUUGCCGCUUUAUUGUGGCGUGACCGCGAGAACUUGUCUAAACCUUAUCAUCUAGAGGAAGGUGAAGUCGUAACA